Molecule: ribosomal RNA, 497 nt
Filed under: uncultured bacterium
Lineage: Bacteria
Description: partial 16S ribosomal RNA
Rfam family: Bacterial small subunit ribosomal RNA
Source: RNAcentral
GACGAACGCUGGCGGCGUGCCUAAUACAUGCAAGUUGAGCGAUGAAGAUUGGUGCUUGCACCAAUUUGAAGAGCAGCGAACGGGUGAGUAACGCGUGGGGAAUCUGCCUUUGAGCGGGCGACAACAUUUGGAAACGAAUGCUAAUACCGCAUAACAACUUUAAACAUAAGUUUUAAGUUUGAAAGAUGCAAUUGCAUCACUCAAAGAUGAUCCCGCGUUGUAUUAGCUAGUUGGUGAGGUAAAGGCUCACCAAGGCGAUGAUACAUAGCCGACCUGAGAGGGUGAUCGGCCACAUUGGGACUGAGACACGGCCCAAACUCCUACGGGAGGCAGCAGUAGGGAAUCUUCGGCAAUGGACGAAAGUCUGACCGAGCAACGCCGCGUGAGUGAAGAAGGUUUUCGGAUCGUAAAACUCUGUUGGUAGAGAAGAACGUUGGUGAGAGUGGAAAGCUCAUCAAGUGACGGUAACUACCCAGAAAGGGACGGCUAACUACGUG